GUGAAGUUUGUCACUUCUUUGUGUCAC
RNAcentral lists this non-coding RNA (27 nucleotides) under Rattus norvegicus (Norway rat). Lineage: Eukaryota; Metazoa; Chordata; Mammalia; Rodentia; Muridae. The record is from RNAcentral.